AUGUCCCCAGCUGCUGGAGAAGGGACAUCUGAUCUCCGAUCUUCACCUCGCCUCUCUCUGGAGCAUAGGCUAGGUGCCUGCUCCAUAUCUGGUGCCCCGCCCAGCAGCACCACAUCCAGCCCUCCAGCUACCUCCAGUGAAUCACAGGCUGCAGGACAUCCAACAUCCAGCACCACAUCCAGCCCUCCAGCUCCCUCCAGGGCAACACAGGCUGCAGGACAUACAACAUCCAGCACCACAUCAGGCCCUCCAGCUCCCUCCAGGGCAACACAGGCUGCAGGACAUCCAACAUCCAGCACCACAUCCAGCCCUCCAGCCACCUCCAGGGCAACACCGGCAGAAGGUGCUGAAGGGGAGCUUCGAAGGAUCCGUUCUAAAUUCGUGAAGAGAGCUUCAAUUGAAGUGAUCAAAGUUCUCCUGGAUGACCUUUUGCAGCAGAAGGUGUUCAGUACUGAGGAAAAGGACUCCGUGAUGGAGAACCAGAGGAAUACAGCAGACCGAGCACGGUGUCUGAUCGACAUGGUGAUGAAGAAAGGGGAGAGAGCAAGUCAGGUGAUGAUUGAUAGUAUGAAGGAGAUGGCCAAUCACUUAUCCAUCACCCUGGGUCUGUAG
This 612-nucleotide long non-coding RNA is filed under the name Gadus morhua (Atlantic cod). RNAcentral describes it as "lncRNA (ENSGMOG00000025353.1)". The record is from RNAcentral. Lineage: Eukaryota; Metazoa; Chordata; Actinopteri; Gadiformes; Gadidae.